GUGCCCGUCCACCGAACGGUCGGCAGGCGAUCCGCGUCGGUCGCGCUGGGUGGUAUGGUUCCCCAGAGGCCGGUUCUUGUGCUGCCUACCCCUUCAGGGGAAGAGUUCCAAACUCGAUGUAAGCCUCCAUCCGGCGCCCUCCAAAGGGCGCGGGAGGACAACGGAGCACCCCCCGCGUUCCACCGAGCCUCCUCGGUCGCGUGGCCCGCGGGGACGUGCGAUGCUCUCGGACCCAGCGAACGCCGUGGGCGAGGACUCACGUCCCGGUCCCAAGUGAAGCAACGGUAUAACGCACGACGGCCGCUCCCGCCCCCCGACCGCCCCGGCGGCGCGGGGGCGAAGGCGCGGCGUCGCUGAGGAAUGCU
This 365-nucleotide unclassified non-coding RNA is filed under the name Acacia falciformis. Its description in RNAcentral is "partial external transcribed spacer". RNAcentral also lists the same sequence under 2 other names. The record is from RNAcentral. Lineage: Eukaryota; Viridiplantae; Streptophyta; Magnoliopsida; Fabales; Fabaceae.